CCUACGGGAGGCAGCAGUGAGGAAUAUUGGUCAAUGGACGAGAGUCUGAACCAGCCAAGUAGCGUGAAGGAUGACUGCCCUAUGGGUUGUAAACUUCUUUUAUAUGGGAAUAAAACAGGGUAUGCAUACCCUCUUGUAUGUACCAUAUGAAUAAGGAUCGGCUAACUCCGUGCCAGCAGCCGCGGUAAUACGGAGGAUCCGAGCGUUAUCCGGAUUUAUUGGGUUUAAAGGGAGCGUAGGUGGAUUGUUAAGUCAGUUGUGAAAGUUUGCGGCUCAACCGUAAAAUUGCAGUUGAAACUGGCAGGCUUGAGUACAGGAGAGGUGGGCGGAAUUCGUGGUGUAGCGGUGAAAUGCUUAGAUAUCACGAAGAACUCCGAUUGCGAAGGCAGCUCACUGGACUGCAACUGACACUGAUGCUCGAAAGUGUGGGUAUCAAACAGGAUUAGAUACCCUUGUAGUC
This 460-nucleotide ribosomal RNA is filed under the name uncultured bacterium. RNAcentral describes it as "partial 16S ribosomal RNA". It matches the Rfam family "Bacterial small subunit ribosomal RNA", at positions 338 to 795 of the family's 1533-position model. The record is from RNAcentral.